GUCGGGAUAGCUCAGUUGGUAGAGCAGAGGACUGAAAAUCCUCGCGUCA
RNAcentral lists this transfer RNA (49 nucleotides) under Cephalanthera nanchuanica. Its description in RNAcentral is "partial tRNA-Phe". It matches the Rfam family "tRNA", at positions 1 to 47 of the family's 71-position model. From Rfam's summary of the family: Transfer RNA (tRNA) molecules are approximately 80 nucleotides in length. Their secondary structure includes four short double-helical elements and three loops (D, anti-codon, and T loops). The record is from RNAcentral. Lineage: Eukaryota; Viridiplantae; Streptophyta; Magnoliopsida; Asparagales; Orchidaceae.